This 440-nucleotide ribosomal RNA is filed under the name uncultured bacterium. RNAcentral's name for it is "partial 16S ribosomal RNA". It matches the Rfam family "Bacterial small subunit ribosomal RNA", at positions 338 to 795 of the family's 1533-position model. The record is from RNAcentral.
CCUACGGGAGGCAGCAGUGGGGAAUAUUGCACAAUGGGGGAAACCCUGAUGCAGCGACGCCGCGUGAGUGAAGACGGAUCUCGGUAUGGAAAGCUCUAUCAGCAGGGAAGAAAAUGACGGUACCUGACUACGAAGCCACGGCUAACUACGUGCCAGCAGCCGCGGCAACACGUAGGGGGCAAGCGUUAUCCGGAUUUACUGGGUGUAAAGGGAGCGUAGACGGCAGAGCAAGUUUGAAGUGAAAGCCCGCGGCCCAACUGCGGGACUGCUUUGGAAACUGCCGGGCUAGAGUGCUGGAGAGGUAAGCGGAAUGCCUGGUGUAGCGGUGAAAUGCGUAGAUAUUAGGAAGAACACCGAUGGCGAAGGCAGCUUACUGGACAGUAACUGACGUUGAGGCUCGAAAGCGUGGGGAGCAAACAGGAUUAGAUACCCGAGUAGUC